Molecule: non-coding RNA, 1327 nt
Organism: Poecilia reticulata (guppy)
Lineage: Eukaryota; Metazoa; Chordata; Actinopteri; Cyprinodontiformes; Poeciliidae
Source: RefSeq, a predicted model, not a curated record
AUUAUUCCUCGUYCGCAACACAAUAUUUGCGUGUUGACCUUUUGAACGUGACGUCACGCCCUGCAGAGCUCCGCCCACUUCCGCCAUGACGGACAAAAACAACCAAUGCCUCCUCUGAAGUUGGUCUAAAACCAGACAUCUGUAAGCUACUAUCACUUCUGUUUAAUUUCACUUUAGAAAUGGCGACAGGUUGCUGCACAAAACAGACAAGGUUGCAAACCAAACCUGCCAUUUGAUUGUUUAACUUCUCCUGAGGAAAGAUGCGGCUGAUUUCAGCAGCCAAUCAUGACGACUGUUACACUUUUUACAAGAGCUGACGGUUGUUUUGGGCUGAAGCUCACAGACGUUUCCAUUUCCCAGAUUCCCAACCACGACGACGACGACGACGCCUGCUUCUUAUUUCUGUGCUCACACACACAAACAGACGGAUGCAGUUUCAGGAUCCAGGGAUCAAGUUGUGAUGAAGCAUCUCAGCAGCAAAUGACACAAUCACACAGCAGCGCGCCGCCACACGUGCACUCUAACCUUUCAGCCUUCGCAGCGGGUAACGGACACCAGCGACCGAUUCCCAGGACGAGGCCAGCUCCAGGAUUUUCAAAAUAAAUGGAUGAUUUAUUAAUACAUCAAAGUAAUUAUGAGGUAAAAAAUCAAUCAGCAGCUACCCAAUCCAGGGUUGAGUGUUAUUCCAGAACGUCCUCUCAGGAGACGGUGUCCAUUUCAGCAAGUCAGAAAUGUAAUUAGCCUUUCGCCUGGGGGGCUGCAGGCUGCGUUCAGGGCGACGAGCCGCCGAUUCCAGACCUCAUGUUCAGGCUGCARACACAGACAAGCCAAAGAACAAAGACACGUUUUAUGUCUGGUUUAGCCCAUUCACAGAUUCAUGGAUAAGAAAAAUCAGYUGCAGCAUUCCUGAACUGUUCAUAAGCCAGGAGAUAAACAAACAUGGCUGACUGCAAGUCCAGGCCUCAGCUGCUGUAAAGGUGCAGAGUUACACCCGAUUCAAAUGUACGGUGGCCCAGACGGGUCACCAAUGCCAGAACAUAAGAAUAUGUGAUUAUAUACGGGGUUGAGUGGAAAGCAGCAGCAGCGGCUCAGUUUGCCCAAAUGAUUCAGGGAACAAGGAAAAAACGCAGCAAGCAAAGAGAGCAAGUUUGGUUUGAAAUGAGAAUUAAACCAGAACAAAGCAACCCUGGUUCUGCUUUCCUCCCGCUCUGCUGGUUAGCCUCGCGUUUCCACUUCCACGCCGCUCUUUCAACCCACUCUGUGGAUAUUUGUUCAGCUUACGCUGCACUUCGGUGAAAGGACUGAAUAAAUGGAACCAUGGACUUCA